UACGUAGGGGCGCAAGCGUUGUCCGGAAUUAUUGGGCGUAAAGAGCUCGUAGGUGGCUUGUCGCCGUCUGCUGUGAAAUCCCGAGGCUCAACCUCGGGUCUGCAGUGGGUACGGGCAGACUAGAGUGUGGUAGGGGAGAUUGGAAUUCCUGGUGUAGCGGUGGAAUGCGCAGAUAUCAGGAGGAACACCGAUGGCGAAGGCAGAUCUCUGGGCCAUUACUGACGCUGGAGGAGCGAAAGCAUGGGGAGCGAACAGG
This 256-nucleotide ribosomal RNA is filed under the name uncultured bacterium. Its description in RNAcentral is "partial 16S ribosomal RNA". It matches the Rfam family "Bacterial small subunit ribosomal RNA", at positions 524 to 776 of the family's 1533-position model. The record is from RNAcentral.